This 352-nucleotide transfer-messenger RNA is filed under the name Desulfobacterales. Its description in RNAcentral is "B30-G6 sp003647375 Standard tmRNA". It matches the Rfam family "transfer-messenger RNA". Rfam says of the family: Bacterial tmRNA, also known as 10Sa RNA or SsrA, is named for its dual tRNA and mRNA-like properties. Its role is to liberate the mRNA from a stalled ribosome. To accomplish this part of the tmRNA is used as a reading frame that ends in a translation stop signal. RNAcentral also lists the same sequence under 1 other name. Lineage: Bacteria; Pseudomonadati; Thermodesulfobacteriota; Desulfobacteria. The record is from RNAcentral.
GGGGGCGAAACGGCUUCGACGGGGAUAAAGAAACUCUGGUCGCAUGCCGAGCAUCUGUCAGCUCGUAAAAAAGACGGAACUUAAUGUAAUCGCAGACGAUUAUAACUACGCUCUAGCCGCUUAAGGCUAGCGUUCUACCGGACCAUUCCUGCUAAUCCGGAUAGGGCGUCGACUUGCAGGAUAGCCGGACUGUUAAUCCUGUUACCAGACUGGCGAAAUUCUAACAGGAUAGUCUUUCAAGCAUCCCGCUCGAUGGAGACUUGAAACGGCGAACACUAAAUAUCGGGACAAGCAUGUAGACGCCACGGUGGAUUAUUUUCGGACGCGGGUUCGACUCCCGCCGCCUCCACCA